This 87-nucleotide non-coding RNA is filed under the name Sporomusa sphaeroides. Its description in RNAcentral is "Sporomusa sp. c-di-GMP sequence". It matches the Rfam family "c-di-GMP-I riboswitch aptamer". From Rfam's summary of the family: GEMM was predicted in a large-scale screen for bacterial structured RNA regulatory elements. Genes associated with GEMM are involved in a diverse array of functions, including chemotaxis regulation, signal transduction, secretion and chitin. RNAcentral also lists the same sequence under 1 other name. The record is from RNAcentral. Lineage: Bacteria; Bacillati; Bacillota; Negativicutes; Selenomonadales; Sporomusaceae.
GAAUAAUAUAAGCAAACCUUCUGAAAGGAAGGGACGCAAAGCCAUGGGUCUAAAGAGGGUUAAAUCUAUGAUUGCCAGGUUGCACUU